This 487-nucleotide ribosomal RNA is filed under the name uncultured bacterium. RNAcentral describes it as "SSU rRNA". It matches the Rfam family "Bacterial small subunit ribosomal RNA", at positions 26 to 523 of the family's 1533-position model. The record is from RNAcentral.
AGGAUGAACGCUGGCGGCGUGCCUAAUACAUGCAAGUCGAGCGGUAAGGCUCCUACUCUGUACUUAAUUUUUGAGUAUGGGGUUGGAGUACACGAGCGGCGGACGGCUGAGUAACACGUAGGAACGUACCCCAAACUGAGGGAUAAGCACCAGAAAUGGUGUCUAAUACCGCAUGUGAUCUUCGGAUUAAAGCUUCGGCGGUUUGGGAACGGCCUGCGCAUGAUUAGCUUGUUGGUGAGGUAAAAGCUCACCAAGGCGACGAUCAUUAGCUGGUCUGAGAGGAUGACCAGCCAGACUGGAACUGAGAACGGUCCAGACUCCUACGGGAGGCAGCAGUAGGGAAUUUUCCACAAUGGACGAAAGUCUGAUGGAGCAACGCCGCGUGCAGGAUGAAGGCCCUCGGGUCGUAAACUGCUUUUACGAGUGACGAUAUGACGGUAGCUCGUGAAUAAGGAUCGGCUAACUCCGUGCCAGCACGCCGCGGUAA